CGAAAAAAAAAACACUAAAGAAAUACGUAGAUAUGUUUCUAGCUUGUCCAAAAUCCAAGGUAACAAUAAAAUUAAAGUUUUAUUACAGUAAGUUGAAAAAUGCUGUGGAAACUGCCAAAAUUGCCGUAGAUAGCUGUUACGUUCUACGGCAUUUUUUAACGUCAUUGGCGUCGAUUGAUUUCAGGGAAAUUCGAGGCCUGACUCAUGGAGCACUAGCGCUCUCCCCUUGACAAGUAAAAUAUUUUGUCGUCAGAAAGAGUAAAAUAAUAAAGUAUAGGGCGUAAUGGGUUAAUAGCAAGUUUAAACAAGCGACGUUUUUGACGGGGGGGGGGCUGGAUUAAAAACUGUGUUUGUGUCAGUUUCAACA
Non-coding RNA from Paramuricea clavata, 367 nucleotides. The record is from the annotation of a GenBank genome assembly. NCBI's taxonomy places the organism in Eukaryota, Metazoa, Cnidaria, Anthozoa, Malacalcyonacea, Plexauridae.